CCCCAGGCUACUCCUUUCAGGAGCUCAGAAAGAGCUGGAGAGACUUGGGUCACAGAAGAGGAUCUAGGAG
This 70-nucleotide microRNA precursor is filed under the name Procavia capensis (Cape rock hyrax). RNAcentral describes it as "miRNA (ENSPCAG00000020590.1)". The record is from RNAcentral. Lineage: Eukaryota; Metazoa; Chordata; Mammalia; Hyracoidea; Procaviidae.